Molecule: ribosomal RNA, 1171 nt
Filed under: Salmonella enterica subsp. enterica serovar Nchanga
Lineage: Bacteria; Pseudomonadati; Pseudomonadota; Gammaproteobacteria; Enterobacterales; Enterobacteriaceae
Description: partial 23S ribosomal RNA
Rfam family: Bacterial large subunit ribosomal RNA
Source: RNAcentral
UACAAGCAGUGGGAGCACAGGUUUACCUGUGUGACUGCGUACCUUUUGUAUAAUGGGUCAGCGACUUAUAUUCUGUAGCAAGGUUAACCGUAUAGGGGAGCCGUAGGGAAACCGAGUCUUAACCGGGCGUUAAGUUGCAGGGUAUAGACCCGAAACCCGGUGAUCUAGCCAUGGGCAGGUUGAAGGUUGGGUAACACUAACUGGAGGACCGAACCGACUAAUGUUGAAAAAUUAGCGGAUGACCUGUGGCUGGGGGUGAAAGGCCAAUCAAACCGGGAGAUAGCUGGUUCUCCCCGAAAGCUAUUUAGGUAGCGCCUCGUGAAUUCAUCUCCGGGGGUAGAGCACUGUUUCGGCUAGGGGGCCAUCCCGGCUUACCAACCCGAUGCAAACUGCGAAUACCGGAGAAUGUUAUCACGGGAGACACACGGCGGGUGCUAACGUCCGUCGUGAAGAGGGAAACAACCCAGACCGCCAGCUAAGGUCCCAAAGUCAUGGUUAAGUGGGAAACGAUGUGGGAAGGCCCAGACAGCCAGGAUGUUGGCUUAGAAGCAGCCAUCAUUUAAAGAAAGCGUAAUAGCUCACUGGUCGAGUCGGCCUGCGCGGAAGAUGUAACGGGGCUAAACCAUGCACCGAAGCUGCGGCAGCGACACUAUGUGUUGUUGGGUAGGGGAGCGUUCUGUAAGCCUGCGAAGGUGGCCUGUGAGGGUUGCUGGAGGUAUCAGAAGUGCGAAUGCUGACAUAAGUAACGAUAAAGCGGGUGAAAAGCCCGCUCGCCGGAAGACCAAGGGUUCCUGUCCAACGUUAAUCGGGGCAGGGUGAGUCGACCCCUAAGGCGAGGCCGAAAGGCGUAGUCGAUGGGAAACGGGUUAAUAUUCCCGUACUUGGUGUUACUGCGAAGGGGGGACGGAGAAGGCUAUGUUGGCCGGGCGACGGUUGUCCCGGUUUAAGCGUGUAGGUGUGUGUUCCAGGUAAAUCCGGUUCACUUUAACACUGAGGCGUGACGACGAGGCACUACGGUGCUGAAGCAACAAAUGCCCUGCUUCCAGGAAAAGCCUCUAAGCAUCAGGUAACAUCAAAUCGUACCCCAAACCGACACAGGUGGUCAGGUAGAGAAUACCAAGGCGCUUGAGAGAACUCGGGUGAAGGAACUAGGCAAAAUGGUGCCGUAACU